GCGGUCGCGAGGCUGGGGCUGAAGAAGAAUGAACUGGAAGAUGCGAGUUAAUGAAUAAAAAUUGGGUAGGAGGCGUGAUAUAUCUAAACGUGAAGACACGGCGUCCUUUAUCUGUGGUAGUUGAUAUGCCGUUGUAAAUCCGGUGUCAUGUAAGCAUACAACUAUUC
Molecule: non-coding RNA, 167 nt
Filed under: Candidatus Nitrotoga sp. HW29
Lineage: Bacteria; Pseudomonadati; Pseudomonadota; Betaproteobacteria; Nitrosomonadales; Gallionellaceae
Source: RNAcentral